AUGAACGCUGGCGGCGUGCUUAACACAUGCAAGUCGAACGAUGAUCCCCAGCUUGCUGGGGUGAUUAGUGGCGAACGGGUGAGUAACACGUGAGUAACCUGCCCCCGACUCUGGGAUAAGCCCGGGAAACUGGGUCUAAUACCGGAUAUUCACUUCCUUCCGCAUGGAGGGUGGUGGAAAGGUCUUUUCCGGUCGGGGAUGGACUCGCGGCCUAUCAGCUUGUUGGUGGGGUAGUGGCCCACCAAGGCGACGACGGGUAGCCGGCCUGAGAGGGUGACCGGCCACACUGGGACUGAGACACGGCCCAGACUCCUACGGGAGGCAGCAGUGGGGAAUAUUGCACAAUGGGCGCAAGCCUGAUGCAGCGACGCCGCGUGAGGGAUGACGGCCUUCGGGUUGUAAACCUCUUUCAGUAGGGAAGAAGCGAAAGUGACGGUACCUGCAGAAGAAGCGCCGGCUAACUACGU
RNAcentral lists this ribosomal RNA (467 nucleotides) under uncultured bacterium. RNAcentral's name for it is "bacterial SSU rRNA". It matches the Rfam family "Bacterial small subunit ribosomal RNA", at positions 29 to 506 of the family's 1533-position model. The record is from RNAcentral.